AGUGAACGCUGGCGGUAGGCCUAACACAUGCAAGUCGAACGGCAGCACAGUAAGAGCUUGCUCUUACGGGUGGCGGGUGGCGGACGGGUGAGGAAUACAUCGGAAUCUACUUUUUCGUGGGGGAUAACGUAAGGAAACUUACGCUAAUACCGCAUACGACCUACGGGUGAAAGCAGGGGAUCUUCGGACCUUGCACGAUUGAAUGAGCCGAUGUCGGAUUAGCUAGUUGGCGGGGUAAAGGCCCACCAAGGCGACGAUCCGUAGCUGGUCUGAGAGGAUGAUCAGCCACACUGGAACUGAGACACGGUCCAGACUCCUACGGGAGGCAGCAGUGGGGAAUAUUGGACAAUGGGCGCAAGCCUGAUCCAGCCAUACCGCGUGGGUGAAGAAGGCCUUCGGGUUGUAAAGCCCUUUUGUUGGGAAAGAAAAGCAGCAGGUUAAUACCCCGCUGUUCUGACGGUACCCAAAGAAUAAGCACCGGCUAACUUCGU
Molecule: ribosomal RNA, 491 nt
Filed under: uncultured bacterium
Lineage: Bacteria
Description: partial 16S ribosomal RNA
Rfam family: Bacterial small subunit ribosomal RNA
Source: RNAcentral